UCGAGAAUCUUCGUCAAUGGGCGAAAGCCUGAACGAGCGACGCCGCGUGCGGGAUGAAGGCCCUUGGGUCGUAAACCGCUGUCGAGGGGGAUGAAGGUCAUUGGGUACUCCCGAUGAUUUGACAGAGCCCAGAAGGAAGCACGGGCUAAGUUCGUGCCAGCAGCCGCGGUAAUACGAACUGUGCGAACGUUAUUCGGAAUCACUGGGCUUACAGGGUGCGUAGGCGGCCAGACAAGUCAGGUGUGAAAGCCCUCGGCUCAACCGAGGAACUGCGCUUGAAACUGUUUGGCUCGAGUCAGCUAGAGGUGCACGGAACUUCCAGUGGAGCGGUGAAAUGUGUUGAUAUUGGAAGGAACACCGGAGGCGAAAGCGGUGCACUGGGGCUGGUCUGACGCUGAGGCACGAAAGCCAGGGGAGCGAACGG
Molecule: ribosomal RNA, 424 nt
Filed under: uncultured bacterium
Lineage: Bacteria
Description: bacterial SSU rRNA
Rfam family: Bacterial small subunit ribosomal RNA
Source: RNAcentral